Molecule: long non-coding RNA, 314 nt
Organism: Cucurbita moschata (crookneck pumpkin)
Lineage: Eukaryota; Viridiplantae; Streptophyta; Magnoliopsida; Cucurbitales; Cucurbitaceae
Exons: 2
Source: RefSeq, a predicted model, not a curated record
AGUUUGCGCCCGGGGCGAGGAUGAUCUAGGGUUUAUCGUGGAGCUGGGGAUGUAAACCAGCAUAAGAUUAUGAAUAUGGGAAUGAAGCUAGUCAUAGAGGCCGAAAUUUAGUACUCGACGGUGUUCACGUGGGGGCCUCUAAAAACUUCCGCUAUAGAUAUUCUGAAUCCCAAUUUUUAUCCAAUUUUCUGAAUUUUAGUGAUAUUGAAGAGUCGUGGGCGAUGAUUUUAUAUUUAUCCGCGCUUCCGAGGUUUAACGAUGAAGCAAACUUAAAAUUAAUGGUUGAAUUUCUUAAUAUGAGCCAUCUUCUUCUA